GAAAGCAAAGAAAUUAGGGCAAAAGCAGUUAUGCAUGUGUGCACAACCAUGUAGCAAUUGCUAAUAAAAAGCUCGAAUCUAAACAGAGCUGACUGAAAGGGACAGCCUCCGUAUUUAUAUCCCUACUCAUUCACAAUUGGUAACAAAAAUGUACAUGUGUUGGUGUAUCUUCAAUAUGAGGGUUAGAAGACGAUCAAACAUGAAUUCUAUCUAUACUUGUUAGAAUCCCUCAAUUAGUGU
Molecule: unclassified non-coding RNA, 240 nt
Filed under: Hevea brasiliensis (rubber tree)
Lineage: Eukaryota; Viridiplantae; Streptophyta; Magnoliopsida; Malpighiales; Euphorbiaceae
Source: RNAcentral